This is a long non-coding RNA of Parus major (Great Tit), 660 nucleotides long. RefSeq lists it as uncharacterized. The record is from RefSeq and is a predicted model, not a curated record. The transcript is spliced from 3 exons. NCBI's taxonomy places the organism in Eukaryota, Metazoa, Chordata, Aves, Passeriformes, Paridae.
CCCGGCCCGGCAGCCCGCGCGCGGCGGGCGGAAGGCUUGGUGUGGCCGAGGCCCCGUGCGCCGGUAGAUCCGGGACGAGCGGCCCGGCCCCGAGAGCCUACGGGACAGACAGAGGGACGUUUUCAGUGCGCAUGUGGGUGGGAUCCUGCAGCCCGCAGGAGAAGGGGCAAAGGGUGCAGAGUGAAAGAGGAAUAGGUUUAGACUGGAUAGGAGGAGCUUGAAAGAUAGAUCUUUACUGUAAGGGUGGCGAGACGCUGAAGAGAUUUCCCAGAGAAGUUGUGGGUGCCGCACUCCUGAAAGUGUUCCAGGCCAGGCUGAAUGGGGUUUUGAACAACCUCGUGUACUGGGAGGUGUCCCUGCCCAUGGAAGAUGGCUGGAACUAGAGGAUCUUUAAGGUCUCUUCCAAUGCAAGCAGUUCUAUGAAUCCGUGAAAUCCAGGUGUUUCAAUGUUACUGAGUUCCAUCGAGCAGGGAGAAAAAUAUAGACAAGAAACCACUUCAGACUGAGCAUGCCAUGUUGCUGCCAUCUCCCCUUCCUCUUCAGAGUCUUAACCACUUCUUUCUGUCACAACUCAAAUUUAUUUUACAGGCUUAUAUUUCCUCCAGGAAAAGACUGAACAAUUAUUUGAAAAAGUCAGAAGAAAAACAUUCAUCUCCAUCA